This 334-nucleotide ribosomal RNA is filed under the name Microbacterium nematophilum. RNAcentral describes it as "bacterial SSU rRNA". It matches the Rfam family "Bacterial small subunit ribosomal RNA", at positions 119 to 451 of the family's 1533-position model. The record is from RNAcentral. Lineage: Bacteria; Bacillati; Actinomycetota; Actinomycetes; Micrococcales; Microbacteriaceae.
GAGCAACCAGCCCCUCACAUCUGGUAUAAGCGCUGCGAAACGGCGUCUAAUACUGGAUAUGAGACACAGCCCCAUGGUUAGUGUUUGGAAAGAUUUUUCGGUGGGGGAUGGGCUCGCGGCCUAUCAGCUUGUUGGCGAGGUAAUGGCUCACCAAGGCGUCGACGGGUAGCCGGCCUGAGACGGUGACCGGCCACACUGGGACUGAGACACGCCCCACACCCCUACGGGAGGCAGCAGUGGGGAAUAUUGCACAAUGGGCCGAAGCCUCAUGCAGCAACGCCGCGAGAGGGAUGACGCCCUUCGGGUUGUAAACCUCUUUUAGCAGGGAAGAAGC